AUAUUGGGCGUAAGCGCGCGCAGGCGGUUUCUUAGUCUGAUGUGAAGCCCCCGUUUCAACCGUGGACGGCCAUUGGACACUGGGGAACUUGAUUGCAGAAGAGGAAAGUGGUUUCCAUGUGUAGCGGUGAUAUGCGCAGAGUAUAUGGAGGACCACCAGUGGCGAAGGCGGCUCUCUGCUCUGUAACUGACGCUGAUGUGCGAAAGCGUGGGGAUGCAACA
Molecule: ribosomal RNA, 221 nt
Filed under: uncultured Bacillota bacterium
Lineage: Bacteria; Bacillati; Bacillota
Description: uncultured Firmicutes bacterium partial 16S ribosomal RNA
Rfam family: Bacterial small subunit ribosomal RNA
Source: RNAcentral